GCCCAUGGGGAAGCGCCGCUGCUCUGCUCGGCUGGUGUGCAGAGCAUCGGGAGGAGAUGGACACCAUGGAAAAGGAGGAUGAGAUAGUGUAUCUGCGGUCUUUGAAAACUAGGAUCGGCAUAAAAUCAUCAUAGAAUCACCAAGGUUGGAAAAGACCUCCAAGAUCAUCCAGUCCAACCGUCCAUCAGUCACCAGCAUUGCCUGGAUGAAAGCGGAAAUUACUAUUAGCUUUAACUUGCGUGGACAAAGGAUUGCCACUUCUAGAACGUUCCUUCCAACUUCUAUCCAGAGAUGUGGAGAUGUGUCACUGCUGUCACCUUGUGAAGUCAGAAGCGUUUGGAGCAGCUUUUGUGGCUAUGGAUAAAGCUGUUUGCUUCCCGCUGUUUGCAUUUUUUUAAGGUACAACAUAGCUUUGUCCCAAGGCAUAAAGAAGGAGCCUCAUCCUGAGCACCAGAUACUGGACAAGAUAGUCCUGUUUUGUUUUAUUUUUAUACUAAUUCCAUUGCUGAAACAGACUGCACUUCUGUUCUCGCUGAAACUGUUACCUCCCUGAGAGUUAUACCUUCGUGCAGCAAAAGAGGCCCGUGAGCACCACUGGCACUGAAAACUACAGAAAUGGAAACGAAGACAGAAAAUACACAAAGAGCUUAAAUGACUGCAUGGAGUAGGGCUAGAGGAAGGUUAAAGUAAAAAAGAACAAAUUCGACUGACUGAUUCUUUAACAACUUCAUUAAAGAAGGCAAGCUCCAAAAUUAACAUAGAAGCUUUCUUCACAGAGAAACCAAAGAAACAAACCAUGCUGCCUCGAUGAGAAUCUUGAAACAGAUUUGAGUAAGUGGCUCCUCAAAAUAACAGAUGCAGAAAAUGCACCAUGUGAGAAAUGAACUGAAGUAAUCUUAGAAAUCCUUAGGAUAAAUAAAGAAUGUCUAGAAGAUGAUGAAAAGGAAUUUAAAAAUCAAAACCAUGCAAAACCAGUUGCAAAGCAGAGAUGCCAUCUGAGUGUGGAGGAGGCCAUAAUCUCAGCAUCCAUGCCUGGGAGGAGGAAAGGGUAGCUCCUGG
Long non-coding RNA from Gallus gallus (chicken), 1059 nucleotides. RefSeq lists it as uncharacterized. The transcript is spliced from 4 exons. The record is from RefSeq and is a predicted model, not a curated record. Lineage: Eukaryota; Metazoa; Chordata; Aves; Galliformes; Phasianidae.